GUGAAAGCCGAAAGCCCUUACACAGGCACUAAGGAAGCCCCAUUGGGUUCCUGGUUUAGAUUCAGACAAUGAAGAAGUCACUGUUCCAGAUGAGCGUGGUCAGGUUGAUCCAGGCCAACCUGUCUGCCCUGUGACUUGGCUCAGCCCUGAGCCCCAAGCUCCCCUAGCCCAUGUCCCUGGAGCUUGUAGCUGAAUUGGUGGGCACAUGGGCAGAAUGACAGGCAAACAUGCUUCAAGUUCUGCUUCCCUCUGCUCUGGCGGGUUCAGCUAGAGGAAUCAGGGCAGCACCUGGAAAGUCAUGGGAGAUCUGCAGUUUCUGUCUUUCCGUCUUUGGCAGAACUAUCUUUGGGUGAUGUCUGGCAACCUGCAAUGGUGAUUAUGCUAAGUGUCCCAGUGAUAUAUGAAGUCCUAGUCCUGGUUCAAGCAUCUGGAUUAGGAGGGAAUCUCCAACGGUGGAAGUGGUGACAAUGGGAACCAAGACAGGAAAACCUCCCCUGGUUUAUUUGGAAUUGGUCUGAUGAAUCUCAAAUCCUUGAGGAGUCUGGAGCUCUUCCGGGCAGCAGGAGAUCAGCCAAUGGACCCCACUCCUGGGAGCGGGAAGCUGGCCAGUGCAAUUUGCAGCAUGGACUCUUUCUGCUGCCCCAGUGCUGCCUGCUACAAGGGACAUCCUCUUCACAUAGCCAGUCCUUGGGCGCCCAUGCCAAGCCACCUCAGAGUCCACAGACUCAUUGCACUUGGAAUCCCGCUCCCUGUGGCAGGACUCCCGCCUCAUCCAGUAUGACUGAAACCAGGAAGAUGAUGCUUUCCCCAUGUGGGCAAGGCACCAGAAGCAGACCAGCAGACCAGCAGACAAGCAGACGUACAGCGAAAUGAUGUGGCAGAGAGAGAGAAAAAAAAGGAGGGACAGCUGAACACUGAGGAGAGUUCGACUGGGGCGAUUGGAGAAGAGUCCAGCUACUGGGAGGCCCAACUCCAGGGGAAGAUCACCUUCCACUCCAUUCCUCCUUCCAGUUCCCUA
This is a long non-coding RNA of Cercocebus atys (sooty mangabey), 1018 nucleotides long. RefSeq lists it as uncharacterized. The record is from RefSeq and is a predicted model, not a curated record. Lineage: Eukaryota; Metazoa; Chordata; Mammalia; Primates; Cercopithecidae. The transcript is spliced from 3 exons.